UCCAACUCCAUCCUCGCUCUACAUCACUGCGAAGCCCUUGUCCCAGUCUCCGAAGAUCUCAACUUGGUGAACCGUUUAGUCAUAGCUAUCGCCAACAACGCCUGCAAAGAACAGCUCACCUCGGGUCUGUUAAAGCUAGAUUACACGUUUUCGGGUGCCAACAUCGAGCCGGAGACUCCGUUAGACUGGUGGGGGAAGUCGCUAGCUGUUUUGAACCUUGACUUCUUCCAGAGAGUUGUCUCUGCUGUUAAGUCAAAAGGGCUUAGACAAGACGUGAUCAGCAAGAUACUGAUCAGUUACACGAACAAGUCUCUUCAAGGGCUAAUCAUCCGCGAUCCAAAGCUCGACAAAGAAAGGGUUAUCGAUUUGGAGUCGAAGAAGAAACAGAGAAUGAUUGUAGAAACAGUCGUUAGGUUACUUCCUACGCAAGGAAGAAGAAGCUCUGUUCCGAUGGCGUUCCUCUCAAGUCUUCUCAAAAUGGGCAUCGCUACAUCAUCAGGAUCAUGUAGAUCAGAGUUAGAACGAAGGAUAGGUCUUCAGCUAGACCAAGCUAUCCUCGAAGAUGUCUUGAUUCCGACAAAUCUCAACGGAAACAACAACACGAUGUACGACACUGAUUCGAUCUUGAGAAUCUUUUCUAUAUUCUUAAACCUAGACGAAGAAGACGACGAAGAAGAACAAGAUCAACAUCAUCGUAACCGUUUUGGAGACGAAACAGAGAUGAUUUACGAUUUCGACUCUCCAAAACAGAGCUCCAUCUUGAAAGUAUCGAAGCUAAUGGAUAACUACUUAGCAGAGAUAGCUUUGGACCCGAACCUAACGACUUCAAAGUUCAUUGCCUUAGCAGAGCUCUUGCCAGAUCAUGCACGUAUCAUCAGCGAUGGACUAUAUCGAGCCGUUGACAUUUAUCUCAAAGUAUAAACACUCUUUUGAACCUUUCUCUCAGUUUAUGAAAUUUUCCAAACUCAUUUAUUGUUUUUUUUUUGUUUGUGGUAGGUUCAUCCGAAUAUAAAGGAUUCAGAGCGUUAUCGUUUAUGUAAGACGAUAGAUUCGCAGAAACUAUCACAAGAAGCUUGUAGCCAUGCAGCGCAAAACGAGAGGCUGCCCGUGCAGAUGGCGGUGCAAGUGUUGUACUUUGAGCAGAUCAGACUCAGAAAUGCUAUGAGCAGUAGCAUUGGUUCUACUCAGUUUCUGUUCAGUGGUAACUGUCAUCAGUUUCCUCAACGGGCAGGAAGUGGAGCAGGUAACUUUACUUUAUAACCCCUCUUGAUGUAUAUAACUUCGGUUUAAGACAGCUCUAAGCGCCACCCUAGUCGGUAAAUUGAGUCUAAACAAAACAAUUUUUUCAGACCGAUGUUUAUAAAUAUCGGUUUAAACUUAAAAAAAAACCGGUUUAAAUGUCCACCUAAACAAUGAUCCUUUAUAAAGCGAUUGCCUAGCGAUUUCUUAAACAUUGGUAUGAUCUAAAUGUUGCAACUUACUGAAACGUUUUUAUGAUUCUUUUGUUUGGUUGGCUUGGAACACAAGGAAGUGGAGCGAUAUCUCCAAGAGAUAACUAUGCAUCAGUGAGGAGAGAAAAUAGAGAGCUAAAACUUGAAGUUGCGAGGAUGAGGAUGAGACUAACGGAUCUAGAGAAAGAUCACAUCUCGAUUAGACAAGAGCUUGUUAAGUCUAAUCCAGGGACUAAGCUUUUCAAGUCAUUUGCUAAAAAAAUAAGCAAACUCAAUUCUCUUUUCAGCUUCAGUAGUCUUAAACAUUCAUUGAGCGCAAAGGCAAGUACUGAUAGCCGUUUCUUGUUUCAGAGAAAAAGACGCCACUCGGUUUCUUGAUUAAGACAUACAAUCAUCUUCAUAUGUUUUUUUUUCCUUCGGGAGUUUGAGUUGUGAUUGCGUGUGUAUGUAUAGCUUAUAUUAUAUGCUUGUGUUUUAUGAAAUGUGAGCGAUGCUGUUAAUUUGGUCGGGUCUUUGCUAUUUGCUUGCAUAAAAUGUGAUUAGGAGAACUCGAUUUUGUUAGCUUAUGACCAGUCAUCAACCACUAUAUCACAUUUUGUUUUUAAUGAUUCUGUAUUACUUAAAUCUUGAGAUGAGUCAGUACUAUACAUAUGUAAUGUACUACAUAAUAUAUGGUACAUAACUUAUUGUUUUUUCUUUGAUAACACUAGUAGCUAGGGUAUGUAUAUUAUAUUAGAACUUUUUGACCAAAUUAGAAGUUUAUUCAACCAGAUAUCUGAAUAAGUAAUUAAUCACAUGCAUCGUACAAUAUAAAGACCUUUGCACAGCCUAGUUAUAAACGUUGCACAAAGCACAAGGCAUACUUAUCAUAAUAAAGUAAUAAAGCGAUCGAUACCAUUUAACUAUAAGUCUAUAAUGUACUCAUGUAAAUACUUAUUAUGCAAAUACAAUCUUAAUUCUUAACAACUGCGAUUGCAUUCAAAACACAAGAGAAGUUGGAUCAAAUCGCUAAUUUAUUUUAUUUUGUUUCUCUAGUAUUCAGAUUGACGCUAAAUAGUUUUCUUGUAAUUACUAUAUAUAUUAUGCUUCAAACGCUGAUCACACUCUAUACUAAAAAUAUAUAAGUAUACCCUUAGUUACGAUUAAGGCCACUUAAAUCCAUAUGGCACCAGCUCUUCUGAGCAACGCACCUAGCUGGUUCCUGACUUGAAGAGACAUAAGCUGAUUUGCACCACCUGUGAGCUGUUGCCCUAUAAAAACAGCUGGCACGGUGGGUUUGCAUCCAAGCUCGACCAGUGCUCGUUCGAUCUCUGGUCCAUUAGACAUCUCAUCUAGUUCGUAUACCGUUGGAUUCGCACCGUAGCCAGAUAUUAGCAACUUGAUAGUGUGGCUCAUACAGCAUGAAGUUUUGCUGAAUAUCACCACUGGCUUGUCUUCUAGCAAAUUUGAGAUCUUCUCCAUUGAUGCUAUAUGAAUGUUUGUGUGCGUUUAAGUGUACUAAUGUAAGCAGUUUUCUGUGUAUUGGUGUAAGUAAUGGGGAGAUAUGGUUUGAGUAUGGUAAGGAAAGUCAUUGGUAUAUAUGGAUGAUCUUUAUUUCCGGGAAGCCCUUUUAUUUUACUUAAUAUGCUCGUUGAAACCCUAUAUUGUUUUCAACUAAUGCUUUAUACUUCUGAUUUUGUUCAGAAUGAUACCUAAUCUAACCUUCAUAUUCUCCACAUCAACACAACGUAUCCAUCCAGAUGAUAUGAGAUCAAAUUCAAAUUACCAUCUAUAGUAAAAAAAAAGAAUCAGAUUGAAGCCAAAUAUGUAUAGUUCUGUGACUAUAUAUGUUAAUUCUUAAUUGUUAUAGAAGUUGGUUUCAAUCUUCUUACAAAGAUAUAUUUCUGAAAGAUUUAAAGCACAAUAUUCAUGUUUAUAUGUGAAUGACUUAGCAUUAUUCAAAAAUUUAUCUUCGGCUGAUACAGUUUGAUUUUGUUUGUCUUCACUAUCACACUAUAUGAUAAAACACAUGGCGUUGUAAAUGAAACAUUAUGGUUUAUAGGAAGCUUUCCGAUUUCUUGGACUAUAAUGCAAAAACAUAUUAUUGAAAUGACAGAACGAUGGAAAAAGUUGAAGAACAUUGGAGAGCUAUUCCGAAAAGAACCACAAUCAACAAAUAUCCUAUCUCGUUUUCGAUUUUCAAGAAAUUUUUAAUAAUUAUUAAAAGAAAGAAUCUCAAAUACAUUAUCAAUGAAAUUAUACUAGCAAGACAGGAAAGAGCCAGUGUUGUUUACGCCGUACAUGAUGGAGAAGAUCACGAGAAGAAGAUGCUGCCUCUGUACGUUCGGAUUAUUCGAUCGAACAAGAAAGGAGAACUAAUCAAUAAUAUAACAGUAUAUGAUUACUAAAUACUCAUCGACGUUUUUGCCCUAGCUCCUAAGCUUGACUACUACUACAUACAUUAAUAUUCAUACGAUAUUAUACGUAUUAGGAUUAAGUUAACGUUGAUGUCGGACAUACAUAGCAUUAAUCAAUUAUUUUUCCUUCAUUGCACGUAUUUUCAUUUAGUUUUGCGUAAUCAACUAUUUCACAGUUUCACCGUUCCACUAUAUGAAUCACAAGAUCCACAACUUAUUUUCUUUUGCGUAUUAUAAAAGGAAAAUGAUUCAUAUGCUUGCUUCAAGUUGCGUGUCACAAAUCGUCGUCCCCCUGGACAAAAUCCGAGCUAAGGACGUCACCAGAGUCUUGACAUGUGGUGAAAAAAAAAAAAGUUGAUGUAUUUUAAUAUUCUACAUUUCACAUGAUCACAUCUCCAUAUGAACUUUGCCCUAAUAAUGGUUUGGUUCAUCACUACGUAUCUGCAUUUUAAAUUAUUAGACUUUGUACGAUAAUCUAACGUACGAGGACUUCAAAUUGCCUACUUAUUAUACUUUCAGUAAUGAAAACGAUCUAAAUCGAGAUUAAUUUUUUUCCUCUUCCAAUAAUCAAAUAUAUUUUUGUUUUCAUUCAUCAACAGAAAUAUGCCGAAAGAGAAACUGAAAAUAGCUAGCCCCCACAGAUAGACUAUCAUUGGAUGAUACAAACUACAAAGAUAUAACACGUAUAUUACCAAGAACAUAUUCGAUAUGGAAGAAGAGAUUAGACAUGGACCCAACUUGCUUCUCAUGUUCUCAUAGAUUUUCUGAAAUGUAAGUCUGUUUUAAUUUAUUCCAAUACUAAAAUAUGUGUGAAAUAUUAUCCAAGGAAAUUAUGCGUAUAUGCGGAGAAAUGAAAAGCAAUGGUAUGCUGUUUAAUAUUCCACCAAGGCAAGAACAAGAUAAGCCACAUAUCUCUCACACAUUGAAAGAGAUUACACGUUUAUUCUUCUUUGAAUUUGAUGCUAUACUGUUCAUCAAAACCAAUAAUUUCUCACAUCUUACUUUUGUAUUGUGUGGAACAUAUAUGUACAUCAACACUUCAUCUGGUUCUGUCUUUAUUUGAAAAGUUUGACGUUGACACAACCUUUUACAUGUCCCCUUUGAAUCUACAAAUGUCUUAAUAACCAGGAAAAAAUAUACACUAUUUUAGAUGAUAGUUUUACUGUUUCCUUAUCCUAUAAUCUUUAUCAUUGGGAGUCAUGGAAUACAGAAGCAGUUCUUAUAUGAUCAUCAAGUUCAACUCCACACACAUCUUUUUUACUUCAUUAUUCAGAAAUCCUUUUAUUGAAAUUAAUGAGUUUCUUUAUAUGUUCUUGCAGGCCUAUCUCUGAUGUCUCUAGUGAUCUUACAGUUCAAGUUGGAUCUUCAAGUUUCUGUCUUCAUAAGGUAAAAAACAAAAACAAAAAACAUAAGAACCUUAAAACAGAGAAUCCUCUGUUCUUGAGUUGUAUUGAAGUUGCUUGUUUGUUGUUUUGAUAAUCUCCAGUUUCCUCUUGUGUCUCGGAGUGGAAAGAUCCGGAAGCUUCUUACCGAUUCAAAAACCUCUAGUAUCUGUCUCCCAAGUGUUCCUGGAGGAGCUGAGGCCUUUGAGCUCGCAGCUAAGUUCUGCUACGGAAUCAACAUUGAGAUCAACCUUCUCAACGUAGCUAAGCUUCGUUGCGCAUCUCACUACCUAGAGAUGACUGAGGAGUUCUCAGAGGAGAAUCUCGCAAUCAAAACAGAACACUUCUUCAAAGGAACGAUCCUCCCAAGCAUCUCCAACUCCAUCCUCGCUCUACAUCACUGCGAAGCCCUUGUCCCAGUCUCCGAAGAUCUCAACUUGGUGAACCGUUUAGUCAUAGCUAUCGCCAACAACGCCUGCAAAGAACAGCUCACCUCGGGUCUGUUAAAGCUAGAUUACACGUUUUCGGGUGCCAACAUCGAGCCGGAGACUCCGUUAGACUGGUGGGGGAAGUCGCUAGCUGUUUUGAACCUUGACUUCUUCCAGAGAGUUGUCUCUGCUGUUAAGUCAAAAGGGCUUAGACAAGACGUGAUCAGCAAGAUACUGAUCAGUUACACGAACAAGUCUCUUCAAGGGCUAAUCAUCCGCGAUCC
RNAcentral lists this long non-coding RNA (5941 nucleotides) under Brassica napus (rape). RNAcentral's name for it is "long non-coding RNA (BNAP_LNC016747)". Lineage: Eukaryota; Viridiplantae; Streptophyta; Magnoliopsida; Brassicales; Brassicaceae. The record is from RNAcentral.